RNAcentral lists this long non-coding RNA (922 nucleotides) under Junco hyemalis (dark-eyed junco). Its description in RNAcentral is "lncRNA (ENSJHYG00000017561.1)". The record is from RNAcentral. Lineage: Eukaryota; Metazoa; Chordata; Aves; Passeriformes; Passerellidae.
UGCUGUGAGUUUUGGGUGAUCUUACAAUUCCCAUUUUGCUGCUGAGAAACUAAGCACAAGCUUACUGAAAGUACCUUCUGUUGUUUAUUGUAUUUUCUGAGGCACUGAGGCCCUAGGCCACAGAGCACAGAAUUAACUCCAGGCAUUUUCACCCACAGCCAGGAGCAUUCCUCCUCACUGCUGUGUAUCCACUCCACAGCCACUGCUGACUAUCCACCCGUGCCUGAUCUCUGGAAAACUGGGAAGGUGACGUAUGUUGCCAGUGGGAAGAGUGGCUGAUAUGAAGGAGAAUGUUUCUAGGAGUCUCUUUUCCCUAGGUUUGACAUCCAGAUCCUGCUGGUUCACAAACAGGCCACAGAGAGCUCUUGACGGACCAGCAGAAAGCACCUUGUCUGUGUCACACCCUGGGAUGAACUGCACUUGUCAGUGGAAGAUACAGCAGGAAGAAAACUCCAGAGAAAUUGCAAGAUCCAUUUGCAACAAGCAUAAUAAAUAUCAAUAAAUUGAAUGGUCAGGAAUAGCACCUACAUAAACAGGAUGUGGCAACUGGAGUGAGCAUAUUAAACUAUACUCAUCAAAUGAUCAGAUUUGCAGUGGGACAAGAGUAUUUAUAUUUUUAAAAAUGAUUUAUGGCUGUCAGAACCCUGGGAAAAGGUUAUGGUUCAUGAAGGAGUUGGACAGGUAGAAAUGUGACCGUUCUCAUAGUUGGAAAUCUAGAAAUGCGUGGAUCCUUUGGAAGGCUCUGGAUGCUGCAAAACAGGUCCUAUAUUGGCAUAGUAAUGCAACACUUGCAACAUCUACAUGCCUUUUGUUAAGGAGGACAAUGGAAAUGUGAGGAGUUUGGGUACUUGAGUCCAUGCAUCUUGGGAAUGUUUAUAAAAGCAUUAAUAAAUUAAUUAAUUAAUUAAGAAUGGCUGUACUU